RNAcentral lists this non-coding RNA (24 nucleotides) under Arabidopsis thaliana (thale cress). Lineage: Eukaryota; Viridiplantae; Streptophyta; Magnoliopsida; Brassicales; Brassicaceae. The record is from RNAcentral.
CUUGGCAUGUGAUACCUUUUCGGA